AGUGAACGCUGGCGGUAGGCCUAACACAUGCAAGUCGAACGGCCGCACAGUAAGAGCUUGCUCUUACUGGUGGCGAGUGGCGGACGGGUGAGGCAUACAUCGGAAUCUACUUUUUCGUGGGGGAUAACGUAGGGAAACUUACGCUAAUACCGCAUACUACCUACGGGUGAAAGCAGGGGAGCUUCGGACCUUGCGCGAUUGAAUGAGCCGAUGUCGGAUUAGCUAGUUGGCGGGGUAAAGGCCCACCAAGGCGACGAUGCGUAGCCGGUCUGAGAGGAUGAUCAGCCACACUGGAACUGAGACACGGUCCAGACUCCUACGGGAGGCAGCAGUGGGGAAUAUUGGGCAAUGGGCGCAAGCCUGACCCAGCCAUGCCGCGUGAGUGAAGAAGGUCUUCGGGUUGUAAAGCCCUUUUGUUAGGAAAGAAAAGCAGCAGGUGUAAACCUCGCUGUUCUGACGGUACCCAAUGAGAAAGCACCGGCUAACUUCGCG
Molecule: ribosomal RNA, 492 nt
Filed under: uncultured bacterium
Lineage: Bacteria
Description: partial 16S ribosomal RNA
Rfam family: Bacterial small subunit ribosomal RNA
Source: RNAcentral